UCGCGGCAGAGGGCAGUACGCGCCGGUGACGCCAUCACGCCGUCCGCCGAAGAAAAACACGGAGAACGGAAGCGCUUGUUUAAUGGAUUUGAAAUAGUAUUUCUUCGAAUAUUUAUUAGACUCUGUGUUUCAAGUGUGCUAAUGUCAUUAUUUACCUCUAGGUCAUUUUUCACACCGCUGACGACACCGCACUUUGACUGCGUGCUCACGUGAUGUUUGUUACUUUUCUCAGCGCUGCGCCUAAAAAACCAGUCACGAUCGAGAUGAAUGGAUCGCACUGCGUUACUUUGAACAUUUUAUACCGUCUGCUGAGGCAGACCAUCGUUUAUAUUUCAGGCAGUAAUUCCUGGAGUAAUUACAGCAACUAUUUAUGAUUUUUUUUCUGUGUGUGUGUGUGUGUGUGUGUGUGUGUGUGUGUGUGUGUGUGUGUGUGUGUGUGUGUGUGUGUUUACCGCGCUGUCAGUGUAAAGUUCGUUCCGCCGCGGACGUCAUUCGUCAGAUCUCGAUAGUGUAUGGUGUUAUCUGUCGGUUUCCGAGCAUAAGAGCAGAUAAACCGGAGGAAUAAUGCGUCUCUCGGCCGGUGGAUGAUGAAGAUCCGGUUUCUGCUGCUGCUGUGUUCAGUGUCAGGACUCUGCCGAUGAUUGCUGGGAAUGAUGAGCAGAGCGUCUUUAUCAGUGAAGUGGAGUCUUCCUCAGUUUCCUCACAGAUUCCAGACUUGGUCCAGCAUCUCCUCAUGAGUGUGUCUCAUGCCGGGACUCUGGAAGCGGCGUCACAGAUUUGUCUGGAGCUGCGUGUGAUGCUGCUGGAUAUGAUCCUGGUCUCAGCAGCUUUCCAGCGGUUCAAGAGAACGUCAGUGUGCGUGAGUCCAGAAGACCUGCUAAAGGCGAA
This is a long non-coding RNA of Puntigrus tetrazona (Sumatra barb), 888 nucleotides long. RefSeq lists it as uncharacterized. The transcript has 4 exons. Lineage: Eukaryota; Metazoa; Chordata; Actinopteri; Cypriniformes; Cyprinidae. The record is from RefSeq and is a predicted model, not a curated record.